RNAcentral lists this transfer RNA (62 nucleotides) under Histeroidea sp. 1 KM-2017. Its description in RNAcentral is "tRNA-Cys". The record is from RNAcentral. Lineage: Eukaryota; Metazoa; Arthropoda; Insecta; Coleoptera.
GGUCUUAUAGUCAAUAAAAUGAUAUUAAAUUGCAAAUUUAAAGUAGGGUUUUCCUAAGGCUU